This 5511-nucleotide long non-coding RNA is filed under the name Anas platyrhynchos (mallard). RNAcentral's name for it is "lncRNA (ENSAPLG00020008190.1)". The record is from RNAcentral. Lineage: Eukaryota; Metazoa; Chordata; Aves; Anseriformes; Anatidae.
CAGGAAAAGGGGGCAGUUUGCAGAAAGAGACGCAGAGAGCUCAUUACAAACGAUGUCUUCAUAGCUGUCUGACUUGGCUUCGGGGUUUUCCUUCCGUUUCCUCGAUUUAAUUAGCCGUUUCACAGCACUUCCCAUGAUCUGCUCCUUUGAUAAGCCCCAUCCUAAAUUAUACAUGACUGGAGGGUGACGUAUCCUCUCUUCCCAGGGGCAUUUUAUCCCCGGUUUCUGAAGUUGAGUCGCGGAGAUGUUUAGUGAGAUCUGUCUAUUUCCCUGCUCAUCCAGCAUGAAACGGUGUUAAAUAGAAAGUUUUUGUGUUGACCUAGCCCCCGACAGGCUGCAUUUUCCUGCCUUACUGUACUUACCGAGCCUCCAAAUGAAUGCAAGGUGCCUAUCAGGCAGAAACAAUAAAAUCCCGUGGACUUGUAUUCGAGGUCCUAUGCCUUGCAAAGAUAUGUAAAUAUUGCUUUUGAUUCUUUCAGAAGCGAGUGUGCAAGCUGUUAGAAACCCUUCCAAAUGAGGCCGAUGCUCGCCUCAUUGACUGUGCUAUGGAGCUGGAUUCCAAACAGAAGCUCUCCUCUGGCUGCGGUCCGUGGGAUGCAAAGACAAAGCCAAAUUCUAUGGUUUUUGAAAACCAAGGAAGCAGAGGUACUGCCCAGCCGUGCCCGAGAUGUAUUGCUGGAGAAUCUGGACACUUCAAUCAUAUCCUGGGCUUCUAGAGUGAGAGACUGCAGCUCAGCAACACUUUCUACAUGCUAAAGACACCCCUGUGAACACCGUACAGCUGGAUAUCUGUACCUGCCCUCACGGCGUGGAUUUGUGUGUGGUAUGCAGCAUACAGCACUUUGCUGGACGCGUUACUCUUCCCAUGUAUGAUUGCAGCUGACAUUGUUUUUACACUUGAAAAAAUGCUUCUGCUUUUAAGGUAGCUCAGCAGGUACAAAAAAUAUAUAUUUGAUUUAAGUUUUUAGAGUAGGUAAGCUCAUUGAGUCUUUGGCCCAGUCUUCACCCGGGACUGGAUCAAAGAUCAUGCUGAUACAAGAUAUUUUCCUGUCUCUCUUGCUCUGGUACUCUUGGGAGGUGGUCCUUGUGUUUACGUUGGUACAAGGCCUGCGUUUUUAGCUCAGCUCUGUGUAAGCAGGCAGAAAUAGAUGAAAUUCAUUUUUAGACAGAGAGCUAAUCAGCUUUGCAGCUCUGCGAAGGCCAGUAAAAAUCCUACUGAAACUUAAUGUUAUGGUAAAAUCCAAAGUAUGCAUCCAGUUCAGGAACCUUUUGUACAUGCUAAAGAUCUACUUCGUAACGAGUACAGUUUGUGAACGGGACAGGUAAAUAUCUAACAGAAAAAUCAGUAUUAUUGGAACAGCACUGUAAUGCAAAGAUGGAUGGUAUUUUAGAUCUAGGCACUUCUCUGAAAGUUGCUGAAGAUGCCAUUUGACACCCGGACUCCUCCUUCCCACUUACGGUAAUACUAGAACAAAUCUGUUUGAGAAGUUUGAGCUUGUUAUCCAACAUGAUUUUAUUGGCUGACCACAGAUAAUUUCCUCUACAUUUUGGCAGUAUGCAGGACUGUAAUUUUUAAACACAUUCAGAUUUUUAGUCUCUUAAGGUAUCUGAGUUGUGCUGCUUGGAUGUGACACCUCAGUGGCUGCUUCAGGUCCUAAAUCUCAGAACCGAGCAGCAGCGUGUUAACCUUCUGCAUUGGAGGGAAACUGCUGUGACCUGCCAAAGUUCAUGCAGGAAUCAAUCUCUGCUGUUGGAGAAGUGCUGAGCCAUAGCCGUGCCCUGCUGCCACCGAGCCUGUGGGCAGAGUUCAGCCCAAAGCAGAUAUCGCAGGGAGAACAGCGUUUGGCCCCUCCUGUUUUGAAAGCAGACAUUAGGCAGUGCAAAUUAAAAUGGUGGCUCCAAAGUUGCAAAGAUCUAGUGACAGGCUUUUAAACCUUACUUUCCCAGUGGGGUUUAUCAUACUGUGAAAUGCUUAGACGAAGCUUUUCACAGUCUUAGAGUGCUUCCCAUGUUGUGUGUGGAGUUGUAGCUAGCGCUGAGUUGACUGUUAUUAAGAAGAUAUUCUUCCUAAAUACAUGAAUAUCCUCUAAAUACUGAAUUGAAUUAAGUGAUAAAUGAGGAAAUAAGUCUGUUAAGCAGAGCUGCAGUAAAUUGGUAUCCAAAGUGUUUUGUUAGGAAAGAAUAAAUUUCCUCCAAGCCAAUAUAAAUUUUAGAUACACUGAAAAUAAAUCUUUGCAUAGUGCAAAUUUUUUCAAAAACCUCAAAAUCUUCUUCAGCCACAGAAGCAGUACAGUCUGUUCAAAGAGUAAAUCACUAAGAAGCACAGUGGUUUUAAAAAUUGUAUUGGCCCUGUUUGUUAAGGUAAGAGACUCACCUUAAACUAUCUAACUCCCAGUACAGGUUGAUAGAAGCAAUAGUUAUUUAUCCAAGCUGGAAAGGAACGUGUUCUCACUUGAAACAAUACAAGUGCAUGAGCAAAAUCCCAUAAACUGUUAUCAGAGUUGAUCAACUAAUGCAAAAUAGGAAUACAAAAUGUUUUCUAAAGACGCUGUUUGCUCUGAAAUUACAUGUUUGUUACUAAGAUAACUACAUCAUAUUUUGGGAGCAGUUCAUUUUUACACAAUUUUCCAAUUUUUAUUUUUAGAAAUCCUGGUAAUAAUAGCAGCCAAGAAAAAAGCUGCCUAAGUAUCAGUUUCUGUGCUGUAAAAGUUGAAAUAGCUACCUAAAAGUUUAAUCUCUGCAAAACGACUCAAAACCUAUUAUGCUUCAUUGACUACAUGUUUGGCAAGGAGCAAUUAGCAGAACAGUGUAUAGUCAAAAUUUAGGGUAUCUGAAGACAAGAGUAUCAGAAGUACACUUGGACUCUUGAAUGGAAAAGUCUUAUGCUGGAAUAUAAAAGAGCAAAUAAUUACACCAGCAUGUUUAAAACACAGGGAAUAGUUCUGUGUAUCAUCAAACCAGAGUGUUUUCUGUUUAAAUAAUUCAAAUUUCAUCAUGUUAAGAAUUCACGGAUGCCAGUGCCUCUGUUUCUUCUGUUUGCUUUAAACUUAACUGUAUUUUAAUCUGCUAUAGAGUAAGGUAAAAUGAGAACCAAGUGAUUUUCCUUGUGAUCCUUGUAGUUUUUGUCAUGUUCUUUUUAAUUCCUCACCCUUCAGAGUGGCGGUCACUUGUUUUUUGUGAAGUCUCACCGUACAUAAAUCAGGGAAUUGGUCAUAGUUGCUGGCUGCAUUACAGAGGCCUGAUGAAGUCAUACUACUGUUCGAUUUUAAUGUAAUUUUUUCAUAUCAGCCUUCUCAUCGUUGCUGUGCACUGUACAGGUAUUUUAUUACACUGUCCACAGUGACUCUCAGGUCUGUCCUUGGAGAUUACUGCAUCUGUACAGCUCUAGAAAAUAGGAGAACUUUAUACUUUAUACUGCUUUUACUCUGUAACCUGCAGUGUGACCAUGGCCACUUGUACUUUCUUUACACUGUUAGAAACAUAAUGCUGCAGUUCACAGCAAAUCUAAUUGGUUAGGGGGUUAUGUUAUGAGCACAUUUUGAAUCUCUAAAUGCUACGCUAUAGAAAGUAAACUUGAGUAAAAUGUAGGGUCACAAGUAGAGGGUUUUGUUUGUUGGUUUAAUUAUAGCCUUUUACAUUCUCCAGGAGCACAACAAUAUGUCAGAUCAAUUCUCUAGUAAUAUUUAAACUAAAUACAAAACUUUGUUGUCCUACCAAUUUCAUCUGUUUGGAGAAUAAACUCCAAAAAUAGAUUUAGAUGAAGACCACCUAGUGGAAACUCCCUUCAUUUUCAGUCCAUCCCAAUUAUCAUUGUAGUUAUACAGAGUGUUGUAAAUAAAAUGCAUCAGUAUUGAAAAGGAAUGAAAAAACAGUUGGUUAUUACCAUCUGCUGCAUUAUAACACAGUUUGUAAUGAAAGAAUGAGUACAAAAAGUACUUUUUGAUACAGAAAUGUAAUGCCUUCCUUCCGUAGCAAAGAUUUAUAAGAAAGCCUAUCUGUAUCUUUCUAUUCCUUCAGAUUUGACGAGUGUUUUAAUCCUUGCUUCCUUACCAUUUCAAUUUCCAGGAUAAUUUUCCCCAGUUAUUUAACUGCAGCAGCACCAGGCUGGGUCAGCUGGGAACACCCAGUUCAAUCUCCUGUAUGCUCCAGUGACUAGUAGCAGACAGCCACAUGGGAAAGGUCUAAGAAACGGGGCAUGUGCUGAAUAGAAACACUUUUUACAAAUAGAAAAACAGUGUUUUAUGCCAUGUUCUGUUGUGGGCGUUCAGUCUUGCCUCAUAGCUAAGUCCUGAACAUCAGGUAUCACAAAAAUUAGGAAAAUGCUGAUAGUUUCCAGUGGUAUUUUUGUCCUCAUGCUUGUUUAUCAAUACAAACGUGUGGCAGGCUUCAGGCAAAUGUUCUAUUUGACUUUUCCUUUCUCAUUAAACAUCGGUGCCUUCACUAUUUAAGAAGUAAUUCCUGUUUGACUUGAGUUUAAAUGUUUUUGUGUAGUCAAAUGUAAUUUGUACAGUAUAAGGAUACUCUACCUAGUAUUUGUUAAAAAUAGCAGCUCCCUCUUUUCUGUUUUUCUUGAGUUUGCAGAGAAUUUAAAAAAUAAAAACAAACCUCUGGGAAUUGCAGUUCAAGGUAGGACGCAGAAGGGUAAUUGCACUGUCUUUUUUUUUCCAGUGUUCUGCAUUCUUCCUUUUUGUGUGAGGCUAUAAGUGCUAAAAAAAACCCUUGAGAUUUUUACUUACUUUUCUGAAUGCUACUGUUGAUAAAGUAUUCUGGGUAGAUGUAAAUUCUAGUUAUAUGGUGUGUAAAGUAUCCAGAAAUGAAACAAUAGAUGUUGCUCACUUUGUGAUGCUGAUUUUUCUCUGCAAGCUCUUCACUGGGGGCACAGCACCUGCUGAAUAUCCUUGAGCCCAGCUCCUUUGGUCCUUGUAAAGUGGCUGCUAGGUUUAUUCCUGCUGCACUGUUAACUGGUAUUUCCAGCUGACUAGAAACACGGCAAGAACAACUUCUGUUCAGAAGCCUCAUGGACAUCCAUGGUUGUUUUCACAACUGAGCUGCAUACACUUCUGUGUAAACCCUAAAGAGAAUCUUUAGGCCGGGAUGCGAUUCCUUCCUCCGUGCCUUCUGACAGGGUAAGGAAUGCAUUUAUAGACCAGCCAUGGUGAAACCAAACCGCAAUUGAAAUACUUUGAUAUAUUGAAGACAUAAUUAUAACAGUGUGGGAGGUUUUUGUUUGCUUGCUUGCUUUAGCAGAUGUACUGUAUUUGUAAUUCAUUUCAAGAUUUGUUGUCAGAAUCAUGAAGUAAUUGUAAGAGGUACAGCUGAAUGCCAUGAAGUUUGGGACAGGUAAACAUUUCUAUAAGGCAGAUUUGUGUAAAAUCUGCAGUAGAACCUCAAAACUAUUUUUGUAAGACUUUCUUCACCUUGUAUAACUGAAAUUUUGUUUUAUUGAUAAAUAUUAUAUACUCUUUAUAUUUCUUAAUGCUGUGGUUUGUACACAAGAUAACUCAAGUGAAA